This 497-nucleotide ribosomal RNA is filed under the name uncultured bacterium. RNAcentral describes it as "partial 16S ribosomal RNA". It matches the Rfam family "Bacterial small subunit ribosomal RNA", at positions 28 to 507 of the family's 1533-position model. The record is from RNAcentral.
GAUGAACGCUGGCGGCGUGCCUAAUACAUGCAAGUCGAGCGAACAGACGAGGAGCUUGCUCCUCUGACGUUAGCGGCGGACGGGUGAGUAACACGUGGAUAACCUACCUAUAAGACUGGGAUAACUUCGGGAAACCGGAGCUAAUACCGGAUAAUAUAUUGAACCGCAUGGUUCAAUAGUGAAAGACGGCUUUGCUGUCACUUAUAGAUGGAUCCGCGCCGCAUUAGCUAGUUGGUAAGGUAACGGCUUACCAAGGCGACGAUGCGUAGCCGACCUGAGAGGGUGAUCGGCCACACUGGAACGGAGACACGGUCCAGACUCCUAAGGGAGGCAGCAGUAGGGAAUCUUCCGCAAUGGGCGAAAGCCUGACGGAGCAACGCCGCGUGAGUGAUGAAGGUCUUCGGAUCGUAAAGCUCUGUUAUUAGGGAAGAACAGAUGUGUAAGUAACUAUGCACGUCUUGACGGUACCUAAUCAGAAAGCCACGGCUAACUACGUG